CUACGGGGGCUGCAGUGGGGAAUAUUGGACAAUGGGCGAAAGCCUGAUCCAGCCAUGCCGCGUGUGUGAAGAAGGCCUUCGGGUUGUAAAGCACUUUCAGUGGGGAAGAAAGCCUUGGGGCUAAUACCCUCGAGGAAGGACAUCACCCACAGAAGAAGCACCGGCUAACUCCGUGCCAGCAGCCGCGGUAAUACGGAGGGUGCGAGCGUUAAUCGGAAUUACUGGGCGUAAAGCGCGCGUAGGCGGUCUGAUAAGCCGGUUGUGAAAGCCCCGGGCUCAACCUGGGAACGGCAUCCGGAACUGUCAGGCUAGAGUGCAGGAGAGGAAGGUAGAAUUCCCGGUGUAGCGGUGAAAUGCGUAGAGAUCGGGAGGAAUACCAGUGGCGAAGGCGGCCUUCUGGACUGACACUGACGCUGAGGUGCGAAAGCGUGGGUAGCAAACAGGAUUAGAUACCCCAGUAGUC
RNAcentral lists this ribosomal RNA (463 nucleotides) under Vreelandella stevensii. RNAcentral describes it as "partial 16S ribosomal RNA". It matches the Rfam family "Bacterial small subunit ribosomal RNA", at positions 339 to 795 of the family's 1533-position model. Lineage: Bacteria; Pseudomonadati; Pseudomonadota; Gammaproteobacteria; Oceanospirillales; Halomonadaceae. The record is from RNAcentral.